GCCAGGUGUGGUGGCGGGCGCCUGUAAUCCCAGCUACUCGGAAGGCUGAUGCAGGACAAUCACUUGAACCUGGGAGACGGAGGUUGCAGUGAGCUGAGAUUGUGCCAUUUGCACUCCAGCCUGGACCACAGAGCAAGACUCCAUCUCAGAAAAAAAAAAAAAAGAAGCUCAGGCUGGAGUGCAAUGGCGCGAUCUCGGCUCACCGCAACCUCUGCCUCCCGCGUUCAAGUGGUUCUCCUGCCUCAG
RNAcentral lists this small RNA (246 nucleotides) under Papio anubis (olive baboon). RNAcentral's name for it is "Metazoan signal recognition particle RNA (ENSPANG00000043955.1)". Lineage: Eukaryota; Metazoa; Chordata; Mammalia; Primates; Cercopithecidae. The record is from RNAcentral.